Molecule: long non-coding RNA, 231 nt
Organism: Drosophila albomicans
Lineage: Eukaryota; Metazoa; Arthropoda; Insecta; Diptera; Drosophilidae
Exons: 2
Source: RefSeq, a predicted model, not a curated record
CCAGCGAGUGCCAUUCGCCGAAUGUAAGCCGAGACAAAGAAAUAUGGAGAAAACGCAAAAAGGGGGGAGCGCCGAUAAGAGCGAAUUAUUACAUAAUUCGCAGUUAACUUAACUUACCCAUGAGAUCAGAUGCCAGUGCCUCCUUUUGAUCCACUGGCACUUUGGAGAUUUUUCCACCCUUGUAAACGUAACUGCCCUCAAUUGACUUGAACUCCAGAUAACGGGUAACGC